CUGAUUUAGGUCUGCUAGGCACGCCGUUAUGGAUCUUAUAUAUCGGUAAUAAUCCUGUGGUCUUUGUUUCAUGCAAGUACUCUUCUACGGAUAAAAGCAACUGAUUGAGGUUCUGCUUUGUAUUUCUGUAUAGAUUUUCUCAAAUUCUAUUUCAUGCUCUGCAAAUUGCAUCAUCAAAAUCGCUGGUUAAUGUUCAUAGAGGUUGAAAAAGUUGAUCUUGUAGAUGAAUUCGAUAUUUACUUAUUCUUUUCAAUGGAUUUAGUUGGUGAAAUAUUGUAGAUGGAUUUUCAGAUUUCUUUCGGCCGUGAUUUCCCUGUUUAAAAUGGUCGGUAUAAUCUGUUUAUGAUUUAAUCGGAUGACACAAUAUACAUCUAAGGUAAGGUGGAAGAUGCAUAGGGUGUUGUCAAAAUCAUAAAUGGUAGAUUGUUUUUGUUGUUGCAAGAAAGGUAGGUUGGAAGAGCGCAAACAUUUUGUUAGGAAGAUGCGGAGGGUGUUAUCAUCUAAGCCGAGACCGUUAUCAUCUUUAUAUUCAGAUCAUUUAACCUUGCAACUAUUAAAACAUAUUUUUUGUUUUGUUAUUCCGUUUUUUGUUUUAUUGUAUCGAUAUUAUUAAGGGCGUUGUCAAAAUCAUACUUAUAUAAAUUAUUACAUAUUUUGUUAUUAUCUUUUGUUUUUUGUGUUUGUUAAAAUUUGGGUUUAUUGUUUUCUUUGAAAGUAUUGAUUUUUGUUGAUUGAAUGUUACAUGUUUUUAAUGAGAAUAUCAUCUUAAUGAACUA
RNAcentral lists this long non-coding RNA (776 nucleotides) under Lactuca sativa (garden lettuce). Its description in RNAcentral is "long non-coding RNA (LSAT_LNC000332)". Lineage: Eukaryota; Viridiplantae; Streptophyta; Magnoliopsida; Asterales; Asteraceae. The record is from RNAcentral.